RNAcentral lists this ribosomal RNA (374 nucleotides) under uncultured bacterium. RNAcentral describes it as "bacterial SSU rRNA". It matches the Rfam family "Bacterial small subunit ribosomal RNA", at positions 28 to 402 of the family's 1533-position model. The record is from RNAcentral.
GACGAACGCUGGCGGCGUGUCUUAACACAUGCAAGUCGAGCGGUAAGGCCCUUUCGGGGGUACACGAGCGGCGAACGGGUGAGUAACACGUGGGUGACCUGCCCUUAGCUCUGGGAUAAGCCUGGGAAACUGGGUCUAAUACCGGAUAUGACUCCAUGACGCAUGUUGUGGGGUGGAAAGCCUUGUGCGGCUAGGGAUGGGCCCGCGGCCUAUCAGCUUGUUGGUGGGGUGAUGGCCUACCAAGGCGACGACGGGUAGCCGGCCUGAGAGGGCGACCGGCCACACUGGGACUGAGACACGGCCCAGACUCCUACGGGAGGCAGCAGUGGGGAAUCUUGCGCAAUGGGCGAAAGCCUGACGCAGCGACGCCGCGU